AUGGGAAGCCCACCGAUGCCACCACUCUCUGCCAUCACCGGCCACCCCACCAUGGCCGGAACCGGGACCUCCUUGAGCCACAAGCAGAAGGUAAGAACUACCGGAAUAUCUAGGCUAACCGAUCCCGACGGAUCUAACAAUGGUAUCAGGCCAUCUAGGCUAAGAAUUUCAGUACAAAGUGCAUACACAGAAAGAAAAUCCCUCCCUCCCCACCCCUUCCCAAAGAACCCUAGCAGGGCAGAGACAAACAACAACAAAAAAGCAGAAAGUUCACCGGCAGAGGGCCUCGGCCCCCGCCGGCAAAGUGCGCCGCCACUCCGGCCGCGCCAGUCCCUCUCGAUCCGAACAGGCAUCGGCAAGCCGAGCCGUCCGGACGAAGAACAACCCCGCAAGGGGCAAAGGGCACUGCGACCAAUCCGCUCGACGGCGGCGCGCUCACCGCAAGGUGGACGCGCAACCGGCGAGGGGGAAGGCCACGGCGCCGCUGCCGUUCGAUCUGCCGUCGUUGAACUCGAAUGGGAGCAAAGGAGGCAGCAGGUUCUCGCUCUCUCUCUCUGCCACGGUGUGUUAAGGAUAAAAGAAAAGAAGAAAACAGAAGGAGAAAGGGAAAAAGUGGAGCCUCACCGCGCCGGGGAGCCUCGCUAG
Molecule: ribosomal RNA, 645 nt
Filed under: Triticum aestivum (bread wheat)
Lineage: Eukaryota; Viridiplantae; Streptophyta; Magnoliopsida; Poales; Poaceae
Description: partial small subunit ribosomal RNA
Source: RNAcentral